GUGCUUGCUGUGGCACAUACACUAAAAAUGGAACAAUACAGUGAAGAUUAGCAUGGUCCCUAUGCAAGGAUGACAUGGAAAUUUGUGAAGUGUCUCAUAUUUUU
Small nuclear RNA from Lontra canadensis (Northern American river otter), 104 nucleotides. The record is from RefSeq and is a predicted model, not a curated record. NCBI's taxonomy places the organism in Eukaryota, Metazoa, Chordata, Mammalia, Carnivora, Mustelidae.